GGCCCCGUAGCUCAGUCGGAUAGAGCAUCAGAUUCCUAAUCUGAGGGUCACAGGUUCGAAUCCUGUCGGGGUCA
This 74-nucleotide transfer RNA is filed under the name Methyloceanibacter superfactus. It matches the Rfam family "tRNA". Rfam says of the family: Transfer RNA (tRNA) molecules are approximately 80 nucleotides in length. Their secondary structure includes four short double-helical elements and three loops (D, anti-codon, and T loops). The record is from Rfam by way of RNAcentral. Lineage: Bacteria; Pseudomonadati; Pseudomonadota; Alphaproteobacteria; Hyphomicrobiales; Hyphomicrobiaceae.